RNAcentral lists this transfer RNA (68 nucleotides) under Lepidotrigona terminata. RNAcentral's name for it is "tRNA-Ile". The record is from RNAcentral. Lineage: Eukaryota; Metazoa; Arthropoda; Insecta; Hymenoptera; Apidae.
AGUAAUAUGUCUGAAAAAGAUAUAUUUUGAUAAAAUAUUUAUGUAUAAUCACUUGUAUACUAUUACUA